This 253-nucleotide ribosomal RNA is filed under the name uncultured bacterium. Its description in RNAcentral is "partial 16S ribosomal RNA". It matches the Rfam family "Bacterial small subunit ribosomal RNA", at positions 524 to 776 of the family's 1533-position model. The record is from RNAcentral.
UACGGAGGGGACUAGCGUUGUUCGGAAUUACUGGGCGUAAAGCGCACGUAGGCGGAUUUGUAAGUCAGGGGUGAAAUCCCCGGGCUCAACCUGGGAAUGGCAUUUGGGACUGCAAGGCUUGAGUGCGGCAGAGGAGACUGGAAUUCCUGGUGUAGCAGUGAAAUGCGUAGAUAUCAGGAGGAAUACCGAUGGCGAAGGCAGGUCUCUGGGCUGACACUGACGCUCAUGCACGAAAGCGUGGGGAGCAAACAGG